RNAcentral lists this ribosomal RNA (497 nucleotides) under uncultured bacterium. Its description in RNAcentral is "partial 16S ribosomal RNA". It matches the Rfam family "Bacterial small subunit ribosomal RNA", at positions 28 to 507 of the family's 1533-position model. The record is from RNAcentral.
GAUGAACGCUGGCGGCGUGCCUAAUACAUGCAAGUCGAGCGAACAGACGAGGAGCUUGCUCCUCUGACGUUAGCGGCGGACGGGUGAGUAACACGUGGAUAACCUACCUAUCAGACUGGGAUCACUUCGGGAAACCGGAGCUAAUACCGGAUAAUAUAUUGAACCGCAUGGUUCAAUAGUGAAAGACGGUUUUGCUGUCACGUAUAGAUGGAUCCGCGCCGCAUUAGCUAGUUGGUAAGGUAACGGCUUACCAAGGCAACGAUGCGUAGCCGACCUGAGAGGGUGAUAGGCCACACUGGAACUGAGACACGGUCCAGACGCCUACGGGAGGCAGCAGUAGGGAAUCUUCCGCAAUGGGCGAAAGCUUGACGGAGCAACGCCGAGUGAGUGAUGAAGGUCUUCGGAUCGUAAAACUCUGUUAUUAGGGAAGAACAAAUGUGUAAGUAACUAUGCACGUCUUGACGGUACCUAAUCAGAAAGCCACGGCUAACUACGUG